This is an RNA transcript of Choloepus didactylus (southern two-toed sloth), 1538 nucleotides long. It is a transcript of the gene named MORF4 family-associated protein 1, with no coding region annotated. The transcript has 2 exons. Lineage: Eukaryota; Metazoa; Chordata; Mammalia; Pilosa; Megalonychidae. The record is from RefSeq and is a predicted model, not a curated record.
GCUGCGGGUCCAUUUUGUUUCCCGCUUCGCUGCGUAUCUGGAGGUUGGUUCUCUUCGUCCCAGCUCCGAAGCGAAGGGCUUAAAAGAAAGAAACAAACAUUAUAAGGAUAAUCCGGGAAUCCUGUGACCACUUCCACUCCAGCAGUGACGUGAUCAGCCGUCCCCGAGGGGCGCGAGUAAGAAGGACGUCGAUACUGCGGUUCUGAAGAGUAGCCGGAAAAAUGCGGCCCUUGGACAUCGAAGAGGUGGAGGCACCCGAGGAGGUCGAGUUGCUGGAACCCGAGGAAGAUUUCGAGCAGUUCCUGCUGCCAGUCAUCAACGAGAUGCGGGAGGAUAUCGCGUCUCUCAUACGAGAGCACGGGAGAGCGUAUCUGAGGACCAGGAGCAAGCUGUGGGAGAUGGACAAUAUGCUCAUCCAGAUCAAGACCCAGGUGGAGGCGUCGGAGGAGAGCGCGUUGAAUCACGUUCAGAACCCAGGUGGAGACGCUGAUGAGAGAGUGUCGGAAUUGUGCGAGAAGGCCGAGGAAAAGGCCAAAGAGAUUGCGAAGAUGGCAGAGAUGCUGGUGGAGCUAGUCUGGCGAAUAGAGAAGAGCGAGUCGUCGUGAAGGGGGAGCGGCGGUAAGGCCGGCUACCCGCGGGAGCUGGACUCAGUCUCGGUUCACAAUUGAUGGACUCUGGUCAACGGGUAACAAUGGACUUGAAGAAACUGAAACAGCUUGUCAUUUUCGCUGUUUUGUUUUUGUAGGUUUUUUACCCCCGUGUAACAGUCUCCCUUAUGGUCAGUGGUUGAUGACCUGCUAUGGGUUUAUAUUGUCAGAUGUAUUGGAUCUGUAAAAAUAACUUUUUUUGAGAAAUAUUCUCAAGAGGGAAAUGGGGCUUAAUCAAAAGUUGUUUCAGUCAUCACGUUUGUUGCUAUUUUGCUGUGUUUUCGAAGUGUUGGGCAUGGCCUUGUAUUUUUGCUGUUAACCUAUGUGACCUGGUUGCUUUCUGGAAGUUUGGAACAAAUGAAGACUUGGGAUCAGAAUCUUCCAACUCUAGAGGUGCAGUGGGAAGCACUUCUGGGUUGCAGCUGGCGAAGGAUGUGUAAAUGAGACUGCUUGGAUCAGACUGGGAAGAACUCCAACACAGUUGAGGAUGGAAGAUGGUUUUGUAAAUAUUUCAGAACUUUAAUUUCUCUGUGAGACGCAGGAGGAGAGCUGUGUUUUGUGGCUCAUCUCUCAUGUAUAUUGUGUAUCCUGUCAGGUGAGUUUAUUUAGACAAUAUAGCUGACUAUGUGACGAAGAAGUUGUGACGCCCUCACAUUAUUGGGGCUUCAGCGUAUAGCAUCAAAAAGACAAUCUACAAAGGUCCUGGAGAGGCUGGAGAAAGGAAAACGCAUCAUCGGGUAAUAGACUGAAUGGCGUUGAGGUCAAAAUCAAACAUGUAAUGUGUUCGUUUGCCUUGAUAAACAAAGUCUUACAGAGCCUUUGUUUGAUUUUUUUAUUGUUGUUCAUAUGACCAAAUCCCUUGUGUGUAUCAAUAAAAGAAUUAUAAGUAAA